RNAcentral lists this ribosomal RNA (660 nucleotides) under Micrococcus sp. KE2-06. RNAcentral's name for it is "bacterial SSU rRNA". It matches the Rfam family "Bacterial small subunit ribosomal RNA", at positions 46 to 715 of the family's 1533-position model. The record is from RNAcentral. Lineage: Bacteria; Bacillati; Actinomycetota; Actinomycetes; Micrococcales; Micrococcaceae.
GCUUAACACAUGCAAGCUCGAAACGAUGCAAGCCCAGCUUGCUGGGUGGAUUAGUGGCGAACGGGUGAGUAACACGUGAGUAACCUGCCCUUAACUCUGGGAUAAGCCUGGGAAACUGGGUCUAAUACCGGAUAGGAGCGUCCACCGCAUGGUGGGUGUUGGAAAGAUUUAUCGGUUUUGGAUGGACUCGCGGCCUAUCAGCUUGUUGGUGAGGUAAUGGCUCACCAAGGCGACGACGGGUAGCCGGCCUGAGAGGGUGACCGGCCACACUGGGACUGAGACACGGCCCAGACUCCUACGGGAGGCAGCAGUGGGGAAUAUUGCACAAUGGGCGCAAGCCUGAUGCAGCGACNCCGCGUGAGGGAUGACGGCCUUCGGGUUGUAAACCUCUUUCAGUAGGGAAGAAGCGAAAGUGACGGUACCUGCAGAAGAAGCACCGGCUAACUACGUGCCAGCAGCCGCGGUAAUACGUAGGGUGCGAGCGUUAUCCGGAAUUUUUGGGCGUAAAGAGCUCGUAAGCGGUUUGUCGCGUCUGUCGUGAAAAUCCGGGGCUUAACCCCGAUCUGCGGUGGGGUACCGGCAGACUAAAGUGCAAUAAGGGAGACUGGGAUUCUGGUGUANCGGUGGGAAUGCGCAAAUAUUCAGGAGGAACCCCCAUUG